This 709-nucleotide long non-coding RNA is filed under the name Mus pahari (shrew mouse). Its description in RNAcentral is "lncRNA (MGP_PahariEiJ_G0004960.1)". The record is from RNAcentral. Lineage: Eukaryota; Metazoa; Chordata; Mammalia; Rodentia; Muridae.
AUCGCGCUUGGCACAUUUUCUUUCCGGACACAUCCAGUGGAUACUGUGCAGGCCUUCUCCAGCUAAUCUCAGGAAGGCUGAAAUUUUUAGACGGCCACCCUUCAUAUUUAGGGAGAGAAUAUAACCAUGUAGAAAGUCUAGUCUGUAUGUGGAAUAUCUGUUAGGAAGAAAUUCUACUUGGAAAGCUUGUCUGCUCUAUUAACCCAUCCCUGUUGCUCCCUUGAAAGAGGAGGGCCUUCACUGUCCACUGUAAGAUGAAGGUCUUCUGUGGCUCUGACGGCUUAUGUUUAGAGACCUUUCUUCAGUGUCCCCAAGGAGUUUCUAGAGGGGCAAUUCAUGAGAGAUAGACUCCGUAACUUGAGUCCGCAAAUUUCAAAAUGUGGAAAAAGCAUUUUAUCAAUGCCAUAGGAAGAGACUGCUUUUACCUAAGAAGAAAGCUUUCAUGGUAUUUGUCAAAUACCAGAACAGCGAGGGUACAGCUGUUUCUAACAGUUCCUUAUGAAUCUUUUGCAUGGUACUGUACACACUUGGACCAGUGACUACUUAAGAUGAAAUGCAACCCAGUGGAAUGCAUCUGAGAAAGAAAGAUAGCAAUGAGUACUUGAGGAUGCCUGCUACUAAUGUGCCAUGGACCCUCUAGUGCAAUGACAAAAGUGAAAACAUAAAAUGUCGACCUCUGUACCAAUGUGUGGUUAGCGCCGGCACAGCA